Molecule: long non-coding RNA, 798 nt
Organism: Lolium rigidum
Lineage: Eukaryota; Viridiplantae; Streptophyta; Magnoliopsida; Poales; Poaceae
Exons: 5
Source: RefSeq, a predicted model, not a curated record
CUACGCAGAAAAGUUAGGCCACAAUGUCAUAAAUCAUUGCCGUGGUACAAGGUAUGGUGCGCGUGCUCUUUUAAAAAAUAUCUGUUUUUGCACGAGCGGACUAGGCCUUACGAGCAGAUGGAAGGGCUCCAGGAAAGACAACAUCCGUUGCUUGUAGGCUUUGUUAGGCAGGCAAGAUGUCAGAUCAUGUAUAAAUUGAGGGUGUUAUCUAGACAGCGGGGCAUGCACGAAACAUAUGAGUGGGUGGAUAAUCCAGAGGGGCAUUGUGUUCCGCAGGGAUGCCAGAGGUUAAGAGAGCUGAUUGAUGAGGAGGUUGGAGCAAGGAAACAAGACGCCGUGAUCCAAGUGAUCUCGGAGAUGAAUGUGCCUCUUGGUGAGGCCAGUCUGAAUGGGGAACACAAAGCAACUAUCCUAGAUGAUAUUAUGGAAGCUGAUGGUGAUACACGAGAUGUUCAUGCCGGAUCGGGAUCAUCAGGGCAGAGAGGGCCAACGAAUGCUGCAGGUAGCAGCAGGGCUGCUGCAAGGCCAGGAUGUUCGGCUAAUUUGCAGUCAGACAAAAGGAAGCAGCCCAUGGAGGAGGCAGAAGAAGAUGUUUGCAUGCGUGGUGAACAUGACGCAGAUGAAGUGAUCAUAGGAUAAGAUGAUUAGUUGAUUACAGCUUCAUUCUACUAGGAUGUUCAAAUAACCAUCAAGCGCUGGUGGCGAGCCAAUGCAAACGCAGGGGUUCCAGCUAUGAUCGUCGAUGUUGUCGUGGCCACCGCCGUAGCCAUGGCUCGGGUAGCCCACGUCACCCCGCUC